CAACCGGCCCUUUUCAGGGCCCACCCAACUACUCCAAAAAGGGCUAU
Molecule: non-coding RNA, 47 nt
Organism: Branchiostoma floridae (Florida lancelet)
Lineage: Eukaryota; Metazoa; Chordata; Leptocardii; Amphioxiformes; Branchiostomatidae
Source: Rfam